RNAcentral lists this small RNA (127 nucleotides) under Marmota monax (woodchuck). The record is from RNAcentral. Lineage: Eukaryota; Metazoa; Chordata; Mammalia; Rodentia; Sciuridae.
GCCAGGCGCAGGGGUGCAUGCCUGUAAUCCUAUCUACCUGGGAGGCUGAGACAGGAGGAUCGCAAGUUCAAAGCCAGCCUCAGCAAAAAACUGAGGCUCUAAGCAACUCAGUGAGACCCUGUCUCAC